RNAcentral lists this ribosomal RNA (498 nucleotides) under uncultured bacterium. RNAcentral describes it as "partial 16S ribosomal RNA". It matches the Rfam family "Bacterial small subunit ribosomal RNA", at positions 30 to 523 of the family's 1533-position model. The record is from RNAcentral.
AUUGAACGCUGGCGGCAUGCCUUACACAUGCAAGUCGAACGGUAACGCGGGGCAACCUGGCGACGAGUGGCGAACGGGUGAGUAAUGUAUCGGAACGUGCCCAGUUGUGGGGGAUAACUGCUCGAAAGAGCAGCUAAUACCGCAUACGACCUGAGGGUGAAAGCGGGGGAUCGCAAGACCUCGCGCAAUUGGAGCGGCCGAUAUCAGAUUAGGUAGUUGGUGGGGUAAAGGCUCACCAAGCCAACGAUCUGUAGCUGGUCUGAGAGGACGACCAGCCACACUGGGACUGAGACACGGCCCAGACUCCUACGGGAGGCAGCAGUGGGGAAUUUUGGACAAUGGACGCAAGUCUGAUCCAGCCAUGCCGCGUGCGGGAAGAAGGCCUUCGGGUUGUAAACCGCUUUUGUCAGGGAAGAAACGCUCUGGGUUAAUACCUCGGGGUAAUGACGGUACCUGAAGAAUAAGCACCGGCUAACUACGUGCCAGCCGCCGCCGUAA